GCUACAAUGGCCUAUGUGGUUAGAGCGUCCGCCUCGGAUGCGGGAUGUCGUGGGUUCGAUCCCCGGUCGAGACA
This is a non-coding RNA of Potamilus streckersoni, 74 nucleotides long. The record is from the annotation of a GenBank genome assembly. NCBI's taxonomy places the organism in Eukaryota, Metazoa, Mollusca, Bivalvia, Unionida, Unionidae.